This 57-nucleotide transfer RNA is filed under the name Halophila ovalis. RNAcentral describes it as "partial tRNA-His". The record is from RNAcentral. Lineage: Eukaryota; Viridiplantae; Streptophyta; Magnoliopsida; Alismatales; Hydrocharitaceae.
ACGGGCGGAUGUAGCCAAGUGGAUUAAGGCGGNGGAUUUGUGAAUCCACCAUGCGGG